RNAcentral lists this ribosomal RNA (253 nucleotides) under uncultured bacterium. RNAcentral describes it as "partial 16S ribosomal RNA". It matches the Rfam family "Bacterial small subunit ribosomal RNA", at positions 524 to 776 of the family's 1533-position model. The record is from RNAcentral.
UACGUAGGGUGCAAGCGUUAAUCGGAAUUACUGGGCGUAAAGUGUGCGCAGGCGGCCGAGCAAGUCGAGUGUGAAAGCCCCCGGCUCAACCGGGGAACUGCGCUUGAAACUGUUAGGCUCGAGUCAGCUAGAGGUACACGGAACUUCCAGUGGAGCGGUGAAAUGUGUUGAUAUUGGAAGGAACACCGGAGGCGAAAGCGGUGUACUGGGGCUGGUCUGACGCUGAGGCACGAAAGCCAGGGGAGCGAACGGG